RNAcentral lists this ribosomal RNA (258 nucleotides) under uncultured bacterium. Its description in RNAcentral is "partial 16S ribosomal RNA". It matches the Rfam family "Bacterial small subunit ribosomal RNA", at positions 793 to 1055 of the family's 1533-position model. The record is from RNAcentral.
GUCCACGCCUUAAACGAUGAAUACUAGACGUUGGGAUAAAACUCAGUGUCGCAGCUAACGCAUUAAGUAUUCCACCUGGGGAGUACGAUCGCAAGGUUGAAACUCAAAGGAAUUGACGGGGGCCCGCACAAGCAGUGGAGCAUGUGGUUCAAUUCGAUGCAACGCGAAGAACCUUACCUGGGCUUGACAUGUAAGCUAAGGCGAAUGAAAGUUCGCGUCCCGCAAGGGGAGCUUAUACAGAUGCUGCAUGGCUGUCGU